GACGAACGCUGGCGGCGUGCUUAACACAUGCAAGUCGAACGCUGAAGCCCAGCUUUUGUUGGGUGGAUUAGUGGCGAACGGGUGAGUAACACGUGAGUAACCUGCCCCCUUCUUUGGGAUAACGCCCUGAAACGGGUGCUAAUACUGGAUAUUCACUGUCCUUCUCAUGGGGGUUGGUGGUAAGUGUUUUUCUGGUGGGGGAUGGGGUCGCGGCCGAUCAGCUUGUUGGUGGGGUGAUGGCCUACGAAGGCUUUGACGGGUAGCAGGCCUGAGCGGGUGACUGGUCAGAUUGGGAGUGAGAUACGGCCCAGACUGAUACAGGAGGCAGAAGUGGAGAGUAAGGAGCAGUGGGCGCAAGUGUGAUGCAGCGGAGCGGCGGGAGGGAUGGAGGCGCGUGGGUUGUGAAGGUCUUUGGCUCAUGGUGAAGCCGUAACAAUGGUUGUGGUGAGGGUAGUGGGUAAAGAAGCGCCGGCUAACUACGUG
Molecule: ribosomal RNA, 483 nt
Filed under: uncultured bacterium
Lineage: Bacteria
Description: partial 16S ribosomal RNA
Rfam family: Bacterial small subunit ribosomal RNA
Source: RNAcentral